UUAUACAGCGAAACUGCGAAUGGCUCAUUAUAUAAGUUAUCGUUUAAUGAUAGUGCCUUACUACUUGGAUAACCGUGGUAAUUCUAGAGCUAAUACAUGCUAAAAACCCCGACUUCGGAAGGGGUGUAUUUAUUAGAUACAAAACCAAUGCCCUUCGGGGCUCUUUGGUGAUUCAUGAUAACUAUACGAAUCGCACGGCCUUGCGCCGGCGAUGGUUCAUUCAAAUUUCUUCCCUAUCAACUUUCGAUGUUUGGGUAUUGGCCAAACAUGGUUGCAACGGGUAACGGAGGGUUAGGGCUCGACCCCGGAGAAGGAGCCUGAGAAACGGCUACUACAUCCAAGGAAGGCAGCAGGCGCGCAAAUUACCCAAUCCCGACUCGGGGAGGUAGUGACAAUAAAUACUGAUACAGGGCCCUUUCGGGCCUUGUAAUUGGAAUGAGUACAAUUUAAAUCCCUUAACGAGGAACAAUUGGAGGGCAAGUCUGGUGCCAGCAGCCGCGGCAAUUCCAGCUCCAAUAGCGUAUAU
RNAcentral lists this ribosomal RNA (526 nucleotides) under uncultured eukaryote. Its description in RNAcentral is "SSU rRNA". It matches the Rfam family "Eukaryotic small subunit ribosomal RNA", at positions 74 to 604 of the family's 1831-position model. The record is from RNAcentral.